UUGAAAAAAAACCCUGAAAACCUCUCAACUUUCAGCCUCUAAAUCCGGCCUAUGGCGCCGGCGAUCUCGCGCUGUGGCUCCGCCACAUUCCGUCGUAGCACCGCCGUACCGGAGGGCCUAAAGCCAGAAUUUUUUUAGAUGCUUUUUCCUUUUUUUUUUUAAAAAAAUAUUUAACUUAGGCUUAGACUCUCUGUAAACUGAAACGAAAAAGGGAAAAGAAUGGCCUUUCGGCCUUGCUUUUCCGCUUGCGCUCCGAGCGAAGCCCCUGGAGGGUUUUUUGUGGCCUCGACGAACGGAGGAGACCUCCGACAGUAGCACGCGACCCGAUUUCAGGUACGAUCACGCGGAGAUUCGGAGGGCAAGGCUUGGCUUGCGGCGCUGUUAGUCCCUAGGGCUUUUCAUCUGUUUUGGGCCACUGUAUUUGGGCCUCUGUAGUUUAACGAAAAUCGGGUCUGGGUUCGGGCUUAUUUGAUUGUAAAUGGACUGUUUCUUUUGGGGCCAUUUUUUGUGCCCGGGGUAAAAAUCGGGUAUUACACCCACAUGUGUCAAUCUGUAUGAGAAACUAAAUUUGAUUAAAAUAAAAAUAAUAAAAACAAAAAAAAAAAAUCAAAAUUGCAAUGGAAUAAA
This is a long non-coding RNA of Gossypium raimondii (Peruvian cotton), 627 nucleotides long. RefSeq lists it as uncharacterized. The record is from RefSeq and is a predicted model, not a curated record. NCBI's taxonomy places the organism in Eukaryota, Viridiplantae, Streptophyta, Magnoliopsida, Malvales, Malvaceae. The transcript is spliced from 2 exons.